AAGUCGUAACAAGGUUUCCGUAGGUGAACCUGCGGAAGGAUCAUUAUCGAAUAAACUUGAACAGGCUGUUGCUGGCCCCCCCCCGGGGUAUGUGCACGCUUGUCAUCUUUAUCAUUUCUCCAACUGUGCACAUACUGUAGACCUGGGAGCUUUGGAUCAUUGUUUCGAGUUGGGACUGCUGUGCUAUAGAUAUCAAAAGUCAGCUUUGCCUUGCAUUUCCAGGUCUAUGUCAUUUUUCACAACCUCUUUGUUUGGAAUGUCGAAUCAGGUCUUUUGUACCUAUAAAAAGUUAUAAUACAACUUUCAGCAACGGAUCUCUUGGCUCUCGCAUCGAUGAAGAACGCAGCGAAAUGCGAUAAGUAAUGUGAAUUGCAGAAUUCAGUGAAUCAUCGAAUCUUUGAACGCAUCUUGCGCUCCUUGGUAUUCCGAGGAGCAUGCCUGUUUGAGUGUCAUUUAACUUAUCUCAACCGCAUCAAUCAUUUUUGAGAUGUGGCUUGGAUGUGGGGGGUCAUUUUUUGUGGGCUUUGAACAGAAGUCUGCUCCCCUGAAAUGUAUUAGUGGUAUUUGAGCUGCUAUAGGUGUGAUAAUUUAUCUAUGCCUUUGGUGUAUGCUGCAUGUGCUGCUUCUAACGCACUCUUUUUUGAUUUGACCUCAAAUCAGGUAGGACUACCCGCUGAACUUAAGCAUAUCAAUAAGCGGAGGAAAAGAAACUAACAAGGAUUCCCCUAGUAACUGCGAGUGAAGCGGGAAAAGCUCAAAUUUGAAAUCUGGCAGCUCUUUGAACUGUCCGAGUUGUAAUCUAGAGAAGUGUUACCUGUGCUGGACCAUGUACAAGUCUCCUGGAAUGGAGCAUCACAGAGGGUGAGAAUCCCGUCUUUGACAUGGACUGCCUGUACAUUAUGGUGCGCUCUCAAAGAGUCGAGUUGUUUGGGAAUGCAGCUCAAAAUGGGUGGUAAAUGCCAUCUAAAGCUAAAUAUUGGCGAGAGACCGAUAGCGAACAAGUACCGUGAGGGAAAGAUGAAAAGAACUUUGGAAAGAGAGUUAAACAGUACGUGAAAUUGCUGAAAGGGAAACGCUUGAAGUCAGUCGCGUUGGCUAGAAAUCAGCCUUGCUUUUGCUUGGUGUACUUUCUGGUUGAUGGGUCAGCAUCAAUUUUGAUCAUCGGACAAAGUCAUUGGGAAUGUGGCAUCUUAGGAUGUGUUAUAGCCCGGUGUCGCAUACGGUGGUUGGGAUUGAGGAACUCAGCACGCCUGCAAAGGCCGGGUUUCGACCACGUUCGUGCUUAGGAUGCUGGCAUAAUGGCUUUAAUCGACC
Molecule: ribosomal RNA, 1314 nt
Filed under: uncultured fungus
Lineage: Eukaryota; Fungi
Description: eukaryotic LSU rRNA
Rfam family: Eukaryotic large subunit ribosomal RNA (bases 647-1314)
Source: RNAcentral